GGCCGGUUAGCUCAGUUGGCUAGAGCGUGGUACUGAUAACGUCAAGGUCGCGGGUUACGAUCCCCGUAUGGGCCA
Non-coding RNA from Zonotrichia leucophrys gambelii, 75 nucleotides. NCBI's taxonomy places the organism in Eukaryota, Metazoa, Chordata, Aves, Passeriformes, Passerellidae. The record is from the annotation of a RefSeq genome assembly.